This 331-nucleotide unclassified non-coding RNA is filed under the name soil metagenome. RNAcentral describes it as "partial contains 5.8S ribosomal RNA, internal transcribed spacer 2, and large subunit ribosomal RNA". The stretch from base 1 to 120 matches the Rfam family "5.8S ribosomal RNA", at positions 35 to 154 of the family's 154-position model. The record is from RNAcentral.
GAUGAAGAACGCAGCGGAAUGCGAUAAGUAAUGUGAAUUGCAGAAUUCAGUGAAUCAUCGAAUCUUUGAACGCACAUUGCGCCCGCUAGUAUUCUGGCGGGCAUGCCUGUUCGAGCGUCAUUUCAACCAUCAAGCCCCAGGCUUGUGUUGGGGGCCUGCGGCUGCCGCAGCCCCUGAAAAGCAGUGGCGGGCUCGCUGUCAUUCCGAGCGCAGUAGUUACAUCUCGCUCCGGGCGUGGCGGUGGGCACCUGCCGUGAAACACUCCUUCUAAGGUUGACCUCGGAUCAGGUAGGAAUACCCGCUGAACUUAAGCAUAUCAAUAAGCGGAGGA